UACGGAGGGAGCUAGCGUUGUUCGGAAAUACUGGGCGUAAAGCGCACGUAGGCGGCGCAGCAAGUCAGGGGUGAAAUCCCGGGGCUCAACCCCGGAACUGCCCUUGAAACUGCAGUGCUAGAAUCUUGGAGAGGCGAGUGGAAUUCCGAGUGUAGAGGUGAAAUGCGUAGAUAUCUGGAGGAACACCGGUGGCGAAGGCGGCGUUCUGGACUGUUUCUGACACUGAAAAACGAAAGCCAGGGGAGCAAACGGG
This 253-nucleotide ribosomal RNA is filed under the name uncultured bacterium. RNAcentral's name for it is "partial 16S ribosomal RNA". It matches the Rfam family "Bacterial small subunit ribosomal RNA", at positions 524 to 776 of the family's 1533-position model. The record is from RNAcentral.